Molecule: ribosomal RNA, 399 nt
Filed under: uncultured bacterium
Lineage: Bacteria
Description: bacterial SSU rRNA
Rfam family: Bacterial small subunit ribosomal RNA
Source: RNAcentral
AUUGAACGCUGGCGGAAUGCUUUACACAUGCAAGUCGAACGGUAGAGGGGGCAACCCCUUGAGAGUGGCGAACGGGUGAGUAAUAUAUCGGAACGUGCCCAGUCGUGGGGAUAACGUAGCGAAAGUUACGCUAAUACCGCAUACGAUCUACGGAUGAAAGCGGGGGACUCGCAAGAGCCUCGCGCGAUUGGAGCGGCCGAUAUCAGAUUAGGUAGUUGGUGGGGUAAAGGCUCACCAAGCCAACGAUCUGUAGACUGGUCUGAGAGGACGACCAGCCACACUGGAACUGAGACACGGUCCAGACUCCUACGGGAGGCAGCAGUGGGGAAUUUUGGACAAUGGACGCAAGUCUGAUCCAGCCAUUCCGCGUGCAGGAUGAAGGCCCUCGGGUUGUAAACU